Molecule: ribosomal RNA, 497 nt
Filed under: uncultured bacterium
Lineage: Bacteria
Description: partial 16S ribosomal RNA
Rfam family: Bacterial small subunit ribosomal RNA
Source: RNAcentral
GAUGAACGCUGGCGGCGUGCCUAAUACAUGCAAGUCGAGCGAACAGACGAGGAGCUUGCUCCUCUGACGUUAGCGGCGGACGGGUGAGUAACACGUGGAUAACCUACCUAUAAGACUGGGAUAACUUCGGGAAACCGGAGCUAAUACCGGAUAACAUGUUGAACCGCAUGGUUUAACAGUGAAAGACGGUCUUGCUGUCACUUAUAGAUGGAUCCGCGCCGCAUUAGCUAGUUGGUAAGGUAACGGCUUACCAAGGCAACGAUGCGUGGCCGACCUGAGAGGGUGAUCGGCCACACUGGAACUGAGACACGGUCCAGACUCCUACGGGAGGCAGCAGUAGGGAAUCUUCCGCAAUGGGCGAAAGCCUGACGGAGCAACGCCGCGUGAGUGAAGAAGGUCUUCGGAUCGUAAAACUCUGUUAUUAGGGAAGAACAAAUGUGUAAGUAACUAUGCACGUCUUGACGGUACCUAAUCAGAAAGCCACGGCUAACUACGUG